Triticum aestivum (bread wheat) is the source of this 3340-nucleotide long non-coding RNA. RefSeq lists it as uncharacterized. The transcript has 4 exons. NCBI's taxonomy places the organism in Eukaryota, Viridiplantae, Streptophyta, Magnoliopsida, Poales, Poaceae. The record is from RefSeq and is a predicted model, not a curated record.
GUGGACGCGGUUGUUCUGGUCGCGAGCACAGGUGCUCGCGGUAUCUGGGCGGCGGACAUGUCAUCGGGAUGUGUAGCGUUAAAUUACCGAGGGAACCAGUCGAUCGUUUUUUAAUCGGGAGAACGGGAAAUACGGUAGAGGGAUAUGACGUACGCCGCGCCGGUGACGGAGCGCGCAGAUCCCGCCGUGACGGGAGGUCAUCAGAGCCGUGGCUCGGGACCGUGUUCUUCUCCUGACCCGUAGCUCAGGAAGUAGUUGGAUUUCCGGCAGGCGGCGGUGCGCAGGCUAGUAAAUGACAAGUGAGACUAAGGCGGAGCUGUCUCCCACCGCUUGCCACACUUGUUUGGAUCUCCAUUGACGCCUGGCGAAACCCUGAGCACCGGAGAUCGGUGGGGGAAGGAAUACACGGCGGCGCUAUCCGUAUGGAGUUCCUGAUGCAGCCCAUUAGGAGAUGUCAACGAGAAGGAGCUUCCAAUGGAGCCGCUGCACUACCCCGCGGUGGCGAUAGGGACUGCAGAGCUACCCCCAUGGCGACAGCCAGCGCCGAUAGGCAGAUGUGUGUGGCGGAAGGCGGGCUCGCAACGGAUGGGGAUGCUGAGCCGCAAGCAUGUGAGCAGGCUGGACUCGCAGGGUUAGGAUUGGAGCUGCUGCUCCAGGAAGGGCACCUUGCCCUAGGCGAACCAACACUCUUGAGAAGGCAAUAUGGGGGUUCGCUGACAAACCGGGCGACAUUGUAAUCAUGCUUGCACUGGGUACAAGCUUUGACACACUCGGGGAGGCCUAUGAUUUUUCCAAUCUCUACUCGUGGGAGAAGGGAUUUGGAAUAAGAUACAGGAAGAGUAUACUGAAUGUGGAGAGGACAAAAUGCAUGCAGGAAAUUGUUUGCGGCUGUGCGGGUAAAGCUGGGGUGGAGAACAGUAGAUCGUGCCAUGACUGCCCUGCAUUAAUAAGGUUGCUCCGCUCAAAGGCAAUGGUUGGUACAUAGCUGAGCAUCGUGAGCAACACACCCACUCGCUGUCUCCGACACAUGGGCACACAAUACACUGGCUUUCCCACAAGCACAUUGCUCCUCCACCAUGCCCUUCCCUCAAUCUCCCUAAGCCUCGUGGCAUUGCCAGCACAUCUCCGUUGAUAUGGACGACGACCCACUACCAAUCGCAACGACACAAGGCUGUAGAUCGGCAGCCGGUCGCUGAUAGGCUAUCAGAACUGGCAAGCAGUGUUCCAUCUCACAUUUUCGGCAUCUUCGUGGUUCCUUCUCCAAGAUUUGCCUCCCAGGCAUCAAAUCGACGGGGCCAAUCCCCUGGUGAGAAGGCUUUGGAUUGCCGGGGCCGCGUUCGCUUGCACCUUAGUUGGAUCUAUGUUUGCUUGCUAGACCAGUGAUCUCCGCCCCUUACUUCACAUAUGAUUCUCCUAACCUGGGGGCAGCAGUCAUUCUCUCCUCUCUGUUUUCUCACGUUUUCAAAGGGGAACUUGGUUUCACCAAUCUACAAGCUGGAGGAAGCUCACUGACUAUCGUUCUCCUAUUUUAUGAAAUGUCAAGCAAUUCAGUGUUCACCCCUGAAAUGACUAGGCACUCCAUGAGCUUUUAUUUUCUGUUUUCAGAAAACCAACCUGUAGAACUGACAACAUUCUUUUCUAUCAGCUAUAUAGAGAACAGUAUGGCAUUCAUCCAUGGAGGUUUAUGCACCAAAACUGUCCCCUUUUGCAACUUCAUCUCUAUUGGAAAUGCUAACACAAAAGGUGUAGGUGAAUUUGAGAUCCUUUUACCUCUGAUGCAUUUUCCCCUACUUUCAGUAGUUAAAUCAUUAGCCUUGACCUUGUCAUCCUAUGGACGUAGAAAUUAAUUCAACUCUCUAAGUACAUGUACUUUUCUAUGUUACUUUUCUACCUGACCAUAUUAUUUUAUAUGAUGCUUGCAAGAUGAUCUUCUAAUAUGUUUACUCAGUGAGGCUCCCACUCAUAACCUGAGUUGUUAUUGUAUUGGUGCCCUGCAAUGAUGUUAAAUCGAGCAACGUAAAUGAAUAUGUCCACUAUGUGGUACUCUUAUUCUUUGCUACUUGUUCACAAAUUGUUUGAUUGAUGCUUGAUGGAAAAAGCUAUUGUUCCUGGACUGAAUGAAGCUGAGAUAUUAUCAUAACUUAAACUUAUAUCAGUGAGAUGUAUAGAGAUUUAAAUGCUGAUUUAGUAAUUAUUUAUUUCUUGUGAUAUUGACAUGCCUUCUCUGAUGCUAAUCUGCAUGAAGUGUGAUACAAGUAUGGUGUUUCCAAUUGUAUGAGUGCUCUGAAGCAACAAUUAGGUAGCUGGAGGUGGAGGCAAAGAGUUCACUCCAAUUAGUUGUCACAGUUCGCCAUAUUGUACAUCUAGAGCUCUCUUAAUAUUGGAAGAAUAUAUAUGUGGAUAGCUCUUGUUGUGUCCUUGUUUGCUCACCAUUGUCUUUGAAUCGACUAUGAAUUAGAAUGCAUAACUAAGCAUGAUGACAGUGAUGCUGAAUUUAUUACAUUAGAAGAUAUAUAGGCUCAUGAUAACUGAAUAUGGAUGGCUGAAUAACAGACGGUUACUCACUUUAGUUUGUGACUUGAAAUAUAUCUCACGCAUUGCACAAAACCUUGCAUCUAAUCUAACUAUCAUGUGCCUCUGAAAAUAUAAGAACACUUGACUGCCACAGGUGUGACUCAUAUCAGUUAGUAUCAAAAUUUAAAUAACUAAUUUACCUUCACAUUUCCAUCUGACUUGGGCUUCAUAUAAUCUGUCAUUUAGUGUUGGGGUGCAUACCUUUUGCAUCAGUACAUCAGAAUUCCGGCAUUCUUCGGAUUGAGUUUAUUUCUAAACAUCUAACAGAAGAGCUCAAUGAAAAAUGACUUCGAUGCACACAUCUCACUGCAUAAUGAGAAAUUAUGGUCUUUUCAUUGUCUUUGUUUCUGCAUCUUUCUCCAAUUCCCUGAAAAUCUUUUAUGCUACUGUUUGACUAUAAUUUUUUCUUUUUCGUUCAGGUGUCAACAUUAAUUAAGCAACUUUGGUUUGGCUACAAAUGAUGUGCUGAAUUAACAUUGCUAAGCGAAUGCACUCUAUUAUUUUGGUAUGACUAACUAUAGGAACGAGGUUUCACUAGCAUGAAUAAUUUUUCCUGGUUGCACUACGUGAUUGAAUCCUUACUGGUAGUAGUUGGUUGUACCAUGUAAUUGGAUCUUUAUCAGUAGUAGUAGCAGAACUAAGUCAUGGAGCUCUGUGUUGAAAGUGCAAUCAUGCCCUUACAUUAUGUUUUGAUGUUGAUGACAAUAUACAUGUAGGGGACUAACAAUGGUUGUUAAGUAAAUCUCAGGUGUUAGUCCCCGGCUCA